Non-coding RNA from Pelobates cultripes (western spadefoot toad), 159 nucleotides. The record is from the annotation of a GenBank genome assembly. NCBI's taxonomy places the organism in Eukaryota, Metazoa, Chordata, Amphibia, Anura, Pelobatidae.
ACAUUCUAGAGCGGGGCUGUCCAACCUGCGGGCCCCCAGAUGUUGCUGAACUCCAACUCCCACGAUUCCCUGGCUAUAUGUUUAAUUGAAAGAAUCAUGGGAGUUAUAGUUCAGCAACAUCUGGGGGGCCGCAGGUUGGACAGCCCUGUUCUAGAGUGU